This 978-nucleotide ribosomal RNA is filed under the name Triticum aestivum (bread wheat). RNAcentral describes it as "partial small subunit ribosomal RNA". The record is from RNAcentral. Lineage: Eukaryota; Viridiplantae; Streptophyta; Magnoliopsida; Poales; Poaceae.
AUGUACCUUUUGGUAUAUGUCGAUGAUAUUAUCCUUCUCAGCUCUUCUCAGUAUGCUGCUAAUGCUCUUGUCUGCUCUCUUGGUGCUGAUUUUGCGGUCAAAGAUCUUGGGAAGCUUCACUACUUUCUUGGAGUUGAGGUAACUUCUCGUGCUACUGGUCUUGUCCUUACGCAGAAGAAGUACUCCUUGGAGUUGUUACAAAGAGCUGGCAUGCUGAAGUGCAAACCGACCACCACACCCAUGUUGUCUACCGACAAGAUAACAACUGUUGAUGGUGAGCUUUUGUCUCCUGCGGAUGCCACAGAGUACAGGAGCAUUGUUGGUGGACUUCAGUACUUGACGAUCACGAGACCAGAUAUCUCUUAUGCUGUUAACAGGGUUUGUCAGUAUCUUCAGGCUCCCAGAGAUACUCAUUGGGCUGCUGUUAAACGCAUUCUUCGUUAUGUUCAGUUCACCCUGACAUUUGGUAUGCAUAUUCGGCCGACUUCCUCUCGGGUCCUUUCGGCCUUUUCUGAUGCAGAUUGGGCUGGUAGCCCAGAUGACAGGCGAUCCACGGGGGGUUAUGCAGUAUUCUUUGGCUCUAAUUUGAUCGCCUGGAGUGCUCGGAAACAGGCUACUGUGUCACGUAGCAGUACUGAAGCUGAGUACAAGGCUGUGGCUAAUGCUACUGCAGAGAUUAUUUGGGUGCAGUCUUUGCUUCAGGAGUUGGGUUUGUCUCAACCACAGCCUCCUAUUCUUUGGUGUGAUAACAUCGGUGCUACAUACCUUUCUGCAAAUCCAGUAUUUCAUGCUCGAACGAAACACAUUGAAGUUGACUAUCACUUUGUACGGGAACGUGUAUCGCAGAAGCAACUCCAGAUCAAGUUUAUCUCAUCUAAGGAUCAACUUGCAGACAUCUUCACUAAGCCUUUACCGCUGCCACAGUUUGAGGCUUGUAGGCGCAAUCUUACCCUUCUCAGUUCUUUAGAAAGUGGCUAA